GCGAGAGUGGCGGAAUUGGUAGACGCACUGGAUUUAGGUUCCAGCGCCGCAAGGCGUGAGAGUUCGAGUCUCUCCUUUCGCACCA
This 85-nucleotide transfer RNA is filed under the name Chromobacterium violaceum. Its description in RNAcentral is "tRNA-Leu". It matches the Rfam family "tRNA". From Rfam's summary of the family: Transfer RNA (tRNA) molecules are approximately 80 nucleotides in length. Their secondary structure includes four short double-helical elements and three loops (D, anti-codon, and T loops). Lineage: Bacteria; Pseudomonadati; Pseudomonadota; Betaproteobacteria; Neisseriales; Chromobacteriaceae. The record is from RNAcentral. RNAcentral also lists the same sequence under 44 other names.